This 528-nucleotide ribosomal RNA is filed under the name uncultured bacterium. RNAcentral's name for it is "bacterial SSU rRNA". It matches the Rfam family "Bacterial small subunit ribosomal RNA", at positions 777 to 1304 of the family's 1533-position model. The record is from RNAcentral.
AAUAGAUACCCGGGUAGUCUACGCCGUAAACGAUGAGUGCUAAGUGUUAGAGGGUUUCCGCCCUUUAGUGCUGCAGCUAACGCAUUAAGCACUCCGCCUGGGGAGUACGGUCGCAAGACUGAAACUCAAAGGAAUUGACGGGGGCCCGCACAAGCGGUGGAGCAUGUGGUUUAAUUCGAAGCAACGCGAAGAACCUUACCAGGUCUUGACAUCCCACUGACCGGUAUAGAGAUAUACCUUUCCCUUCGGGGACAGUGGUGACAGGUGGUGCAUGGUUGUCGUCAGCUCGUGUCGUGAGAUGUUGGGUUAAGUCCCGCAACGAGCGCAACCCUUGAUCUUAGUUGCCAGCAUUUAGUUGGGCACUCUAAGGUGACUGCCGGUGACAAACCGGAGGAAGGUGGAAUGACGUCAAAUCAUCAUGCCCCUUAUGACCUGGGCUACACACGUGCUACAAUGGAUGGUACAAAGGGCUGCAAGACUGCGAAGUCAAGCCAAUCCCAUAAAACCAUUCUCAGUUCGGAUUGCAGG